This 460-nucleotide ribosomal RNA is filed under the name uncultured bacterium. RNAcentral describes it as "partial 16S ribosomal RNA". It matches the Rfam family "Bacterial small subunit ribosomal RNA", at positions 338 to 795 of the family's 1533-position model. The record is from RNAcentral.
CCUACGGGAGGCAGCAGUGAGGAAUAUUGGUCAAUGGGCGUAAGCCUGAACCAGCCAAGUCGCGUGAGGGAUGAAGGUUCUACGGAUUGUAAACCUCUUUUAUAAGGGAAUAAAGUGCGGGACGUGUCCCGUUUUGUAUGUACUUUAUGAAUAAGGAUCGGCUAACUCCGUGCCAGCAGCCGCGGUAAUACGGAGGAUCCGAGCGUUAUCCGGAUUUAUUGGGUUUAAAGGGAGCGUAGACGGCUUGUUAAGUCAGCGGUGAAAGUCUGUGGCUCAACCCUAAAAUUGCCAUUGAUACUGGGAGGCUUGAGUAUGGUUGAGGCAGGCGGAAUGCGUGGUGUAGCGGUGAAAUGCUUAGAUAUCACGCAGAACCCCGAUUGCGAAGGCAGCCUACCAAGCCAUGACUGACGCUGAGGCACGAAAGCGUGGGGAUCAAACAGGAUUAGAUACCCGGGUAGUC